AUUUAAUAAGCAGAUUACAAAACAUAUAAGCAGAAUGAAACAAAAAACAAAACAAAAUAGUAGGGACAUCAACAACACACAAUUGAAAGAGAGAGCAGCGGUAACUAAUGGCGCCAGCGUUCACUCUCCCUUUAUUAUAUAUAUUUAU
Amblyraja radiata (thorny skate) is the source of this 148-nucleotide long non-coding RNA. RefSeq lists it as uncharacterized. The transcript is spliced from 3 exons. NCBI's taxonomy places the organism in Eukaryota, Metazoa, Chordata, Chondrichthyes, Rajiformes, Rajidae. The record is from RefSeq and is a predicted model, not a curated record.